CAAGUAUAUCAAAUUCCAGAGCAUGCGCUUUUUACAUAGCUCUAAAUAGCUGACUUCCUGUUGGGCGGAGCCUAUGACAUGCAAUAUGAAAGUUGUUUGGCUCAAUGAGAUCUACAUGUGUAAUGAGAUUCAUAUGAAUAUGUGCAAGUAUGUGUGAGCUAUACAUCAACAUUUCUGACUGUGUUCCAGGGGGCGCCGUAGAGCCCCUGUGCCACGCCCGGGUCCCAGCCUCUGCGGCCUCCUAAUGGCCACAGAUUCCAAGGUGUGUGCAAAUUUUCAAGAGUUUUUGAGCAUGUUAAGGGCCCCAAAAGCCCCCAAAACUUUGACGGAAAAUAAGAAUACAAAACCCUAAAUAACCAACUUCCUGUUGGGGCGGAGCCUAUGACAUGGAGUACGAAAGUUGUUUGGCUUGAUGAGAUCUAUAUGUGUACCGAGUUUCAUACGUCUACGUGCAAGUAUGUAUGAUAUAUGGCCCUCCAAAUUCCAGGGGGCGCUGUAGAGCCCCUGUGCCACGCCCGUGUAUCAGUCUCUGCCCGGCCCUAAUGGCCGCAGAUUCCAAGGUGUGUGCCAAUUUUCAAGAGUUUUUGAGCAUGUUAAGGGCCCCAAAAGCCCCCGAAACCUUGGAAAAAAAUUAGAAGAAUAAAGAAAAAAAAAAAAAAAAAAAAAAUAAUCCUAAGGAAAACAAUAGGGCUCUUCGCCCUCCAGGCUUGAGCCCUAAAUAUAGCUGCAAGCAGCGAUGGCGGGCCCGAGCCGUCAGCGCAAACGCCACCCCGGUGCCAUCAGUCAAAGUGUGCCCAGUGGAGACAUACACAAUAACCCUCUAGCACAGGGGUGUCCAACCCUGUUGAUGGCGAUCGACUGUCCUGCAAAGUUUAGCUCCAACCCUACUCAAACACACCUGAAGCAACUAAUUAAUGUCUUCAGGAUUGCUUGAAAAUUAAAGGUAGGUGUGACUGAUUAGAGUUGGAUCUGAACUUUUCAGGACAGUCGAUCGCCAGGAACAGGAUUGGGCACACUUAAUUUAGCAGUUUGGAUUUAAGGGAUACAGCAAUGAAAGGGUUAAUCCAAACCAUCAAGCGACACACACAACACAAUAUAUAAAACUUGAGUAACACUUCCAAUAAGGUUUCAGUUAUUAACAUUAAUUAUAUUAAAUUACAUUAACAACAACUGUAUGGCAUUUAUUAAUGUGAGUCUCUCUCUCUGUCUUUCUCACACACUCACUUACACACACACACCCACACACAAAGAA
Long non-coding RNA from Cyprinus carpio carpio, 1252 nucleotides. Lineage: Eukaryota; Metazoa; Chordata; Actinopteri; Cypriniformes; Cyprinidae. The record is from Ensembl.